AAAGUCGUAACAAGGUCUCCGUUGGUGAACCAGCGGAGGGAUCAUUACGAGAGUGUCACCGCUCCCAACCCAUUGUUUACCUACCCGUCCACCGUGCUUCGGCAGGCAGCCCUGUGGGACAGGGCCCCGCCUCCCUCCGGGGGGGUGCCUGCCGCUGGCCAACCAAAAAUUCAGCUGUUUUUGUACCAUCCGAGUCUUCCACAAAUAAACAAAACUUUCAACAACGGAUCUCUUGGUUCUG
Molecule: unclassified non-coding RNA, 241 nt
Filed under: Ascomycota sp.
Lineage: Eukaryota; Fungi; Ascomycota
Description: partial contains small subunit ribosomal RNA, internal transcribed spacer 1, and 5.8S ribosomal RNA
Rfam family: Eukaryotic small subunit ribosomal RNA (bases 1-47)
Source: RNAcentral